Brassica napus (rape) is the source of this 3181-nucleotide long non-coding RNA. RefSeq lists it as uncharacterized. Lineage: Eukaryota; Viridiplantae; Streptophyta; Magnoliopsida; Brassicales; Brassicaceae. The transcript has 11 exons. The record is from RefSeq and is a predicted model, not a curated record.
GAAAAAAGAGAAAAAAAUAAAUGAGAAAUGAAAUAAAGAGAGAGAACCGGUCCCAAAUGUGGAGGUUGUAGAAGUGGUAAUAACCCCAUACGUGGCAAUAUGGUAUUGGCUUGUUGGUUUCACACGAAGGGAAAUUUUUUUUGUGUUUCUUUCUUCAGUCGGUUCUCUAUUUCUUCGAUAUUGUCGAAGUCUUUUGAUCUUCUUGCCAUGGAAGUUCAUCCACAUGACGAAUCCUUCGAUCUUCAAGAGAUUCACAGGUUUUUAUCUCUCCUCUCUCUUUCUCUUCUUGUUCAUUCCUUGAUUUUUUUCGCCAUUCUCAGCCGCGUGAAAGAGCUCGAGUACGUCACCGUAAUUGCAUAGACGAAUCUGGAGAAUCGAUUCCUUGCGGUUUCGAGGCUUUGGCCCAAGAUUAUGCUCUUCAGCUUGAGACAAAGGUGAAAGAGAUUGUUGAAGAUUAUUGCCAUGUUGAUUCAAUGGAUGUUGAAGAGUCAGGUAUGCUUCUUUUACUUUGUUGUUUAAUGACUAGACGUGUGGCUGUUGAUGUAUUGUCUCUCGUGUGAUCACACUUGAACGUGUUCAUCAAACCUUUGGUUAAGUAUUGUCUAGUCGUCAGCAGUUGAUGUAUUGUCUCCGGUCAUAUGGUGGUUUAUCCGGGCAGAUGUGUGGCUGUUGGCGUCACUCGUGGUUAUGAGAUUCUUGCUCCUCCUCGAGGUGACGACCAUCCCGUCUCUGAUGUUUUCUGGAGACUUCGAGAAAGGCUCUCUCAUGUGUUAGUGUUCUAUAUCGGCGGUAUUCUUUCUUUUUGCUGGUGUUUGGAGAUGUGAAGCACUCCGUUGUUGCUCUCGCUUUGUUUCAGUCCGUGGUGGACAGAGGCGGUGAUGUCUUCGUUGUGGUCAGUUCCUUGUGUGACAGUUUAAGCUGUUGUGUGUCGUGUUAAGGGAGUUCUGCUUAGUAGGAGUGUUCUAUCUUGGUUUUUGGUGUAACGGUUCAGCUGAUAGUUUCUAAUCACAGGUUUUUGGCUGAGUUUUUCCGGCUCCAGUCCAAUGAUUUAGAGUUUUGAAACUCAUGUUCUUUAGUUCGUGGGAAGUCGCAAGAUGAAAUUGUUUCUCUUCUCAUCUUUCUUGGUUCUUGGUUGAUUUCCAAGCUUUUGAUCUCUUCACAUUUCUUCUCGUUUACGAUUUGUAGUUGUAUUUUUAAUAUGUUUUUAUGUCAUUUUUAUUUUAAUUUUUAUGUAUGCUUUUCUUUAAUGUUAUGAUAUCCAAUCUUUCAAAUUUAAAAAGAAAAAAAAUUUUAAGAACCUCACCAAGGUUCUUCCAAUGGACCAUCCGAAAAUUAAUUAGACUAAAAAGUGUUCUAAACUUGUCAAAUCAUACAAUCAAAGACUAAUUUAUUCAUUAGAACCUAAAUGGGUUUCUAACCAAUGGAGAUGGUCUAAAAUCCUUAUUUUUCAAAUAUUAUUUUUUUUCAUUUAUUUUAAGUUAAUGGGCUUUAACUUAGGGCAUUGUGCGAAAGUGAAAGGGGAUCGUGAAAACGAAACUAAGACCAUCUUCGUUUAAUAAGAAUUAAAAAAAUGGCAAUAAACAUAAGUUACGGCUCUUAAUUAGGGAACAUAAGCGACGUCUCUUGUGAGCUCUAUCUUCUCCCUCUUUCGAUUUCCCGAGCUUCAGAUUAACAAACAUGGGCACCACUGGAAACAAGAAUAUCAACGCCAAACUGAUAACAUUUUCAACGCAAUUGCUUAGCUGGGAUUUACUGAGCCAACACCAAUACAAGCUCAGGAAUGGCCAAUGGCUUUAAAGGGUGAAGAACCUGUUUCUUUGACUAAGAGAAGAUUCAGGUCUAAGAAUAUUGAACCUAUACCUUUUUGGAAAAUGCAGGUGGUUCCUUUCAAUGGAAAAUUGGUUAAGGCCAAAAAGAGGUGCCAUUGGUGUGGAACCAGAGGAUGUGAGGAUUUGGUUAGCUGUUUGAGUUGUGGAAGAGAGUUCUUUUGUGUAGAUUGUAUCGAUAAAAGCCCGACGAGAGAGAUGUCCACAUACUUUAGAACUACACGCAGAUCUGUAAAACAAAGGCUCUAAUAUAUACAAGUUAUCCAAGAUUUGGAGAAUGAUUGGUAAAGACUAAAGAGCUCGACGGUAUGGGUUACUUUGAACUGUCGGUGUUUAGCUUUGAGAUAACGCGUGGUUUGUUGAAAGCCGGAGAUAUGAAGAAGAUAAACGUGCAAGGCCGGUCAACAAGGAACCAAUCUCCCCGGUACAGAUAUGAUCGUGACUUUAUAGGUGGCCAGGUUCUUGGCUCGUGACAUUAAGAGAGUUGGAAUCGUUUUGUUUAAUAAAGAGAGUCUUUGUGACUAUGUACUUAAAGAUAAUUUUAUUGUUUUCCUGACUGUGUUAUGUCUCUCUGGUGAUAUGAUGAUAUGAUUAAACUAAAGACUGACUCGAUAUGGUUUUGCUAUAUCCCUUAUGUAUUAAAGUUUAAUACAUAAAUCACUUGACAAAUCAAAUUUUGACAAGUAGAAAAUGCUUUACAAAUAAUAAAAAAUAAUCAACUAAAAAAUCAACAUUCGGAUCCCUAAUUUUCAGCAAUUCAUUUAUAAUUUCUAUCAUAAUAUUGCAUUCACGUUCAAAGUAAAUUGAUCACGAUUAAAAACUGUUUUCUUCCCCUAUAUAAAUUCUUAUCAACAAAUUUAUUUUCUAUUUAUUUUUUCUGACUUUUCUAUUCUCUCUGUUAUCAAACAUGCAAAAUCGAAGAUCCUUUCAUCUCUUCUAAAUUUUCAAUUUUGAUCUCAAGUUCUCGACCUGCUUUUUCAUAUCUACUUUCUUAUGUCUAUACCAAUUCAAUUUUUUUAUUCAUCACCUGGAUUACUACUUAAAAGUUCAUGAUCAUCACAUUUUUCAGAUCAGACAGUGGAAAACAUUCGUCUUUGAACCUUUCUCAAAGCAACAGUUGGUUGGCGGUUGAGUUUAAAUCACGACAGAGAGAGAUUAAUUUUGUUGCAGGCUUCUAGAAUUUGCAGAUCUGCUCUACAGUAAACUUUGAGAAGGUUGAAGACGCUGGAUUACAAAGAACCGAGAUGUGGAGGAGAAAGCGACGUCGGAGCUGCCGCUCUUCAUCAUCACUCAACGCUGGAAUCUUCACAAUCCAUUGGAGAUCCACACCGUUAUCAUAUGAGCCGUACCAAGCC